RNA transcript from Brienomyrus brachyistius, 2662 nucleotides. RefSeq lists it as uncharacterized. The record is from RefSeq and is a predicted model, not a curated record. The transcript has 13 exons. NCBI's taxonomy places the organism in Eukaryota, Metazoa, Chordata, Actinopteri, Osteoglossiformes, Mormyridae.
UACCCACUGAGUCACCAUGCAAACUACACAGAGCCCAAGCCGGGGGGGUGUGAGGUGCCAGUGUUACCCACUGAGUCACCAUGUAAACUACACAGAGCCCAAGCCGGGGGGUGUGAGGUGUCAGUGUUACCCACUGAGUCACCAUGUAAACUACACAGAGCCCAAGCCGGGGGGUGUGAGGUGCCAGUGUUGCUCACUGAGUCACCAUGUAAACUACACAGAGCCCAAGCCGGGGGGUGUGAGGUGCCAGUGUUACCCACUGAGUCACCAUGUAAACUACACAGAGCCCAAGCCGGGAGGUGUGAGGUGUCAGUGUUACCCACUGAGUCACCAUGUAAACUACACAGAGCCCAAGCCGGGGGGUGUGAGGUACCAGUGUUACCCACUGAGUCACCAUGUAAACUACACAGAGCCCAAGCCGGGAGGUGUGAGGUACCAGUGUUACCCACUGAGUCACCAUGUAAACUACACAGAGCCCAAGCCGGGGGGUGUGAGGUGCCAGUGUUACCCACUGAGUCACCAUGUAAACUACACAGAGCCCAAGCCGGGGGGUGUGAGGUGCCAGUGUUACCCACUGAGUCACCAUGUAAACUACACAGAGCCCAAGCCGGGAGGUGUGAGGUGUCAGUGUUACCCACUGAGUCACCAUGUAAACUGCACAGAGCCCAAGCCGGGGGGUGUGAGGUGCCAGUGUUACCCACUGAGUCACCAUGUAAACUACACAGAGCCCAAGCCGGGAGGUGUGAGGUGUCAGUGUUACCCACUGAGUCACCAUGUAAACUACACAGAGCCCAAGCCGGGGGGUGUGAGGUGCCAGUGUUACCCACUGAGUCACCAUGUAAACUACACAGAACCCAAGCCGGGGGGUGUGAGGUACCAGUGUUACCCACUGAGUCACCAUGUAAACUACACAGAGCCCAAGCCGGGAGGUGUGAGGUACCAGUGUUACCCACUGAGUCACCAUGUAAACUACACAGAGCCCAAGCCGGGGGGUGUGAGGUGCCAGUGUUACCCACUGAGUCACCAUGUAAACUACACAGAGCCCAAGCCGGGGGGUGUGAGGUGCCAGUGUUACCCACUGAGUCACCAUGUAAACUACACAGAGCCCAAGCCGGGAGGUGUGAGGUGCCAGUGUUACCCACUGAGUCACCAUGUAAACUACACAGAGCCCAAGCCGGGGGGUGUGAGGUGUCAGUGUUGCCCACUGAGUCACCAUGUAAACUACACAGAGCCCAAGCCGGGAGGUGUGAGGUGCCAGUGUUACCCACUGAGUCACCAUGUAAACUACACAGAGCCCAAGCUGGGAGGUGUGAGGUGCCAGUGUUACCCACUGAGUCACCAUGUAAACUACACAGAGCCCAAGCCGGGGGGUGUGAGGUGCCAGUGUUACCCACUGAGUCACCAUGCAAACUACACAGAGCCCAAGCCGGGAGGUGAGAGGUGUCAGUGUUACCCACUGAGUCACCAUGUAAACUACACAGAGCCCAAGCGGGGGGGUGUGAGGUGCCAGUGUUACCCACUGAGUCACCAGGUAAACUACACAGAGCCCAAGAAGGGGGUGACACCAUGUGUUAAACUGUAUAUUCAUCUGAGUUCAACUCCAUAAUCCAGCUCUUAUAUGGGAACCAAACCCAUAGUUGAAAAUCACAUAAUUUCCAGAAUUUACAUUUAAGGUGUUUUUCAGAACUGGUAAAAUAGUCAUAAAAUUUAACUUAAAAUGUAAUACUGUGACAAAGCUCAGUUGUAAUUAUUGUAUUACAAUUUCCUUAGAAUAAAAGAAGAGAUGGGUUUGGUUAAGAGACACCAAGAUACCGACCUGGACCAGAGAUCACAUGACAGUCACAAGACUGAGGCGUCAUCAUCCACUGAUCCCCAAGAACUGAAGGCAGAGGAGGGAUCACAUGACAAUGAGGAGACUGAAGCAUUGUCCCCCCCUGAUCACAAUGGACCAAACACAGAGGAGGGAUCACAUGACAAUCAGGCAUCAUCGCUUGCUGAUCACAAUGAUCACAAACCCAGAGGAGGUAUUACUGGGGGAGAAGAACACAGAAGCCUGAAGGAUCUAUAGAGUUUAAUUUUAUGUGUUUUGCCUGCAGUCCCAAGUUUACCAGGUCCAACUGGAUCAACAAGCUACUCGUGUUAGCAGUCAUCAGAUUAUUGAUGCUCAUUUACAGUUAACUAUCUGAAGAGUUGAUGGACUUUGCUGGGUAGCAGAUAAGCUUUUCUAAGACAAGUAGAUGUUCAUCUGCAGAGCAGCACCCUGGGAAGGACCAUUAUGCUGUAUCUGUAGUCAGUCACCUGAGGAUAAAGUCAGCUGUGUAGAUCAAUACAGGGUCCUUCAUGUCAUCCUGUUUCUUCCAAACUGAACUUUGUAUGUUAUGCUUUUGUUACAAAUAACUUUUCACCAUUUUAUGUGUUUCAGAAUAUCUGCUUAACAAAAAAGCUUGAUGACUUAAUGUGAAGAGACUCUGCUUAGUGAAACAAUGUAUUUGGAAAGUUACAAGUCAAGCAAACUGGUUUCAGGACAUAAUAGAAACCUUCCUGUGUAAAUAGUUGUACAUCAUACUGUAUGAUUAUCUGACUUACCUUUGCAGUGUUUUUUGCAGUAUUGAAAUGUACAGUGUCAUUAUCAACAUUCUGAAUAAAUACUCACUGCUCACUG